UACCGUGAGGGAAAGUUGAAAAGAACUUUGAAGAGAGAUUCAAGAAGUACGUGAAACCGCUCAGGGGUAAACGGAAAAGACCUGAAUAUCCGAAAGGGGAGAUUCACGUCUUACCAGUUGCUCAACUUUUAAAUGAUUUGAGAUGGCCUCUCGCCCUAUUCAGUGUAACAGCUGUGGUAGUGGGUUUGGUCGCUCGCAUUUAAAUUGGAAGGGUAAUGGGUGGACCGCACUUCUCCCUUAGUAGGACGUUGCGACCUGUCAAAUAAUAUCCUAAGUAUUUGGCUAAUUUGUCUGUUUUUAGGCAGUACUGAAAGGUAUUUCCUUUAACAGUUUUAGCCGUUUACAUACUGGAUAUAAUUGACAGUAACGAAUCAUGGUGUUGAGCCACUUACUUUGUAAGUGUCCUUUAUGGCUGUUUGCAAGUGGGUUUGGUUAAUUUAGUUUUAGUUCAGAAUUUUGCGGGUCUAACUAUUCCGCCUACGGUUGGUAAACUGUUCCCUUGGAGAGUGCUUAUAACACCGGU
RNAcentral lists this ribosomal RNA (523 nucleotides) under Triatoma guasayana. Its description in RNAcentral is "partial large subunit ribosomal RNA". It matches the Rfam family "Eukaryotic large subunit ribosomal RNA", at positions 349 to 638 of the family's 3401-position model. Lineage: Eukaryota; Metazoa; Arthropoda; Insecta; Hemiptera; Reduviidae. The record is from RNAcentral.